AGACCCGAAACCCGGUGAUCUAGCCAUGGGCAGGUUGAAGGUUGGGUAACACUAACUGGAGGACCGAACCGACUAAUGUUGAAAAAUUAGCGGAUGACCUGUGGCUGGGGGUGAAAGGCCAAUCAAACCGGGAGAUAGCUGGUUCUCCCCGAAAGCUAUUUAGGUAGCGCCUCGUGAAUUCAUCUCCGGGGGUAGAGCACUGUUUCGGCUAGGGGGCCAUCCCGGCUUACCAACCCGAUGCAAACUGCGAAUACCGGAGAAUGUUAUCACGGGAGACACACGGCGGGUGCUAACGUCCGUCGUGAAGAGGGAAACAACCCAGACCGCCAGCUAAGGUCCCAAAGUCAUGGUUAAGUGGGAAACGAUGUGGGAAGGCCCAGACAGCCAGGAUGUUGGCUUAGAAGCAGCCAUCAUUUAAAGAAAGCGUAAUAGCUCACUGGUCGAGUCGGCCUGCGCGGAAGAUGUAACGGGGCUAAACCAUGCACCGAAGCUGCGGCAGCGACACUCAGGUGUUGUUGGGUAGGGGAGCGUUCUGUAAGCCUGCGAAGGUGGCCUGUGAGGGUUGCUGGAGGUAUCAGAAGUGCGAAUGCUGACAUAAGUAACGAUAAAGCGGGUGAAAAGCCCGCUCGCCGGAAGACCAAGGGUUCCUGUCCAACGUUAAUCGGGGCAGGGUGAGUCGACCCCUAAGGCGAGGCCGAAAGGCGUAGUCGAUGGGAAACGGGUUAAUAUUCCCGUACUUGGUGUUACUGCGAAGGGGGGACGGAGAAGGCUAUGUUGGCCGGGCGACGGUUGUCCCGGUUUAAGCGUGUAGGCUGGUUUUCCAGGCAAAUCCGGAAAAUCAAGGCUGAGGCGUGACGACGAGGCACUACGGUGCUGA
Molecule: ribosomal RNA, 877 nt
Filed under: Salmonella enterica subsp. enterica serovar Newport
Lineage: Bacteria; Pseudomonadati; Pseudomonadota; Gammaproteobacteria; Enterobacterales; Enterobacteriaceae
Description: partial 23S ribosomal RNA
Rfam family: Bacterial large subunit ribosomal RNA
Source: RNAcentral